RNAcentral lists this ribosomal RNA (1183 nucleotides) under human gut metagenome. Its description in RNAcentral is "bacterial SSU rRNA". It matches the Rfam family "Bacterial small subunit ribosomal RNA", at positions 335 to 1520 of the family's 1533-position model. The record is from RNAcentral.
ACUCCUACGGGAGGCAGCAGUAGGGAAUUUUCGGCAAUGGGGGAAACCCUGACCGAGCAACGCCGCGUGAAGGAAGAAGUAAUUCGUUAUGUAAACUUCUGUCAUAGAGGAAGAACGGUGGAUAUAGGGAAUGAUAUCCAAGUGACGGUACUCUAUAAGAAAGCCACGGCUAACUACGUGCCAGCAGCCGCGGUAAUACGUAGGUGGCGAGCGUUAUCCGGAAUUAUUGGGCGUAAAGAGGGAGCAGGCGGCACUAAGGGUCUGUGGUGAAAGAUCGAAGCUUAACUUCGGUAAGCCAUGGAAACCGUAGAGCUAGAGUGUGUGAGAGGAUCGUGGAAUUCCAUGUGUAGCGGUGAAAUGCGUAGAUAUAUGGAGGAACACCAGUGGCGAAGGCGACGAUCUGGCGCAUAACUGACGCUCAGUCCCGAAAGCGUGGGGAGCAAAUAGGAUUAGAUACCCUAGUAGUCCACGCCGUAAACGAUGAGUACUAAGUGUUGGGGGUCAAAGCUCAGUGCUGCAGUUAACGCAAUAAGUACUCCGCCUGAGUAGUACGUUCGCAAGAAUGAAACUCAAAGGAAUUGACGGGGGCCCGCACAAGCGGUGGAGCAUGUGGUUUAAUUCGAAGCAACGCGAAGAACCUUACCAGGUCUUGACAUCGAUCUAAAGGCUCCAGAGAUGGAGAGAUAGCUAUAGAGAAGACAGGUGGUGCAUGGUUGUCGUCAGCUCGUGUCGUGAGAUGUUGGGUUAAGUCCCGCAACGAGCGCAACCCCUGUUGCCAGUUGCCAGCAUUAAGUUGGGGACUCUGGCGAGACUGCCGGUGACAAGCCGGAGGAAGGCGGGGAUGACGUCAAAUCAUCAUGCCCCUUAUGACCUGGGCUACACACGUGCUACAAUGGACAGAGCAGAGGGAAGCGAAGCCGCGAGGUGGAGCGAAACCCAUAAAACUGUUCUCAGUUCGGACUGCAGUCUGCAACUCGACUGCACGAAGAUGGAAUCGCUAGUAAUCGCGAAUCAGCAUGUCGCGGUGAAUACGUUCUCGGGCCUUGUACACACCGCCCGUCACACCAUGAGAGUCGGUAACACCCGAAGCCGGUGGCCUAACCGCAAGGAAGGAGCUGUCUAAGGUGGGACUGAUGAUUGGGGUGAAGUCGUAACAAGGUAUCCCUACGGGAACGUGGGGAUG